UCUCUCGCUGGCUGUCUCUAUCUCUGUCGAAUAAAUAAAUAAAAUCUUUAAAAAAAAAUUUUGCUAACAAUACUAAAAACCUAAUGUUUGUCAAGGCUACAAAAAAGGUUGAUGGUUUUGAUAGAAUCUGACCAUCCCCUCCAUAUGUCAAGAUUAGUAUCAGCUGUAAGAAAUGGAUAAGUUCAAAGUAACAGUUGCUUAAACAGAAAAUAUUUAUGUCUCUGUAUUGGCUUCUUGGGACGACUGCAACAAUGUAUAGUAAAUUGGAUGACUUAAGACAACAGAAAUCUGGCAGUUCUGGAGAAGUCUGAAAUCAGGCCAUGUUCACUCCAAAACCUGUCAGAUAACUUUGGUGAUUUUUCAAUGAUCUUUGGCAUUCUUAGGCUUGCAGCUGCAUAACUCCUAUCUCUACCUUUGUAGUCAUGUGGUGGCCUCCCUGUGUGUCUUCACGUGACCAUCUUGCAUUGGUCAUAUUGGAUUAAGGGCCAGCCCUACUUCAGUAUGACAACUAGUUACAUCUGCAGUGAUGCUAUUGAUAAGGUCACAUUCUGAGGGACUAGGGAUUAGGAUUUCAUGCCUAACUCAUGGAGAGACAAGUCAACCAUAAUUCUCUCAAAUUCAAGAACCUUGGAGGUAGUGAGAUAAGGGUUUGUAUGCGUCCAUAUGAUGUCAGGCACCUAGAUGAAUCUUCAGUCUUACUGCUCUGCCAUGAGUGACUUCCAUUACUAAGAACAUUUUAUGGUUCAAGAUAGGAGACUGACCAACAAAAGACAAAUUACCAGACUCAGGAAAGAAGACACAUCACUACUGAUUCUAUAGAAAUUGGAAAGGAUUAUAAAGGAAUAUUAUGAACAGUUUUAUGCCAAUUUAGGUGAAAUGGACAUGUUUCUAGAAAGGCCUGAAUUAGCAACUGAUUUAAGAAGAAAUAGAACAUCUGAAUAGGUCUAUAACAAGAAGUUGAAUUAAUACUUCUCAAGAAGAAAUGUCCAGGCCCAGAUGGCUUCACAUUAAAUUCUGUCAAAUAUUUAAAGAAGAGGCUUUCCCAAUUCUUCUCAAACUCCAAAGCUAGAGAAGGAAGGAUCACUUCCCAAAUGAUUCUUU
Molecule: long non-coding RNA, 1101 nt
Organism: Ailuropoda melanoleuca (giant panda)
Lineage: Eukaryota; Metazoa; Chordata; Mammalia; Carnivora; Ursidae
Exons: 2
Source: RefSeq, a predicted model, not a curated record